AAAACAUCUCCUUUUGAUUUUUAUUUAAGGUUUAAUCUGCUCAAUGAAUAUUAAAUUGCCGCGGUAUUUUGACCGUGCAAAGGUAGCAUAAUAAUUAGUUUCUUGAUUAGAAGCUUGAAUGAAUGAUUGGACGAGAAAAUUACUGUCUCUUUUUAAUUUGUUUUUGAAUUUUAUUUUUAAGUAAAAAAGCUUAAAUUUUAAUAAAAGACGAGAAGACCCUAUAGAGUUUUAUAUUUAAGGUUUAUUUAGUAUUAGGAAUUUUUUUAAAUUUUACUUAUUUAGUUGGGGUGACUGGAGGAUUAAGAUAAUUCCUCUUUUUGUUAAUUGAUGAUUGUUAAAUUGGUUAUCUGAUUUUUUCAAAUAAAAAAAUAAAUUACCUUAGGGAUAACAGCGUAAUUUUUCUUUAGAGUUCUUAUUGAAAGAAGAUUUUGCGACCUCGAUGUUGGAUUAAAAUAAAUUUUUGGUGCAGAAGCUAAAAAAUUGGGUCUGUUCGACCUUUGAUAUUUUACAUGAUCUGANNUCCAGACCGGA
RNAcentral lists this ribosomal RNA (531 nucleotides) under Thonalmus hubbardi. RNAcentral describes it as "partial large subunit ribosomal RNA". It matches the Rfam family "Bacterial large subunit ribosomal RNA", at positions 1810 to 2620 of the family's 2925-position model. The record is from RNAcentral. Lineage: Eukaryota; Metazoa; Arthropoda; Insecta; Coleoptera; Lycidae.